GAUGAACGCUGGCGGCGUGCCUAAUACAUGCAAGUCGAGCGAACAGACGCGGAGCUUGCUCCUCUGACGUUAGCGGCGGACGGGUGAGUAACACGUGGAUAACCUACCUAUAAGACUGGGAUAACUUCGGGAAACCGGAGCUAAUACCGGAUAAUAUAUUUAACCGCAUGGUUCAAUAGUGAAAGACGGUUUUGCUGUCACUUAUAGAUUGAUCCGCGCCGCAUUAGCUAGUUGGUAAGGUAACGGCUUACCAAGUCAACGAUGCGUAGCCGACCUGAGAGGGUGAUCGGCCACACUGGAACUGAGACACGGUCCAGACUCCUACGGGAGGCAGCAGUAGGGAAUCUUCCGCAAUGGGCGAAAGCCUGACGGAGCAACGCCGCGUGAGUGAUGAAGGUCUUCGGAUCGUAAAACUCUGUUAUUAGGGAAGAACAAAUGUGUAAGUAACUAUGCACGUCUUGACGGUACCUAAUCAGAAAGCCACGGCUAACUACGUG
RNAcentral lists this ribosomal RNA (497 nucleotides) under uncultured bacterium. RNAcentral's name for it is "partial 16S ribosomal RNA". It matches the Rfam family "Bacterial small subunit ribosomal RNA", at positions 28 to 507 of the family's 1533-position model. The record is from RNAcentral.